CAUUAGAUGACUGAAAAUUUAAGUGUUGGUCUCUUAAACCAAAUUAUAGUAUUAUUACUUCUAAUGA
RNAcentral lists this transfer RNA (67 nucleotides) under Lachesilla texcocana. RNAcentral's name for it is "tRNA-Lys". The record is from RNAcentral. Lineage: Eukaryota; Metazoa; Arthropoda; Insecta; Psocodea; Lachesillidae.